GGGAUAACUACUGGAAACGGUAGCUAAUACCGCAUAACGUCGCAAGACCAAAGAGGGGGACCUUCGGGCCUCUUGCCAUCGGAUGUGCCCAGAUGGGAUUAGCUAGUAGGUGGGGUAACGGCUCACCUAGGCGACGAUCCCUAGCUGGUCUGAGAGGAUGACCAGCCACACUGGAACUGAGACACGGUCCAGACUCCUACGGGAGGCAGCAGUGGGGAAUAUUGCACAAUGGGCGCAAGCCUGAUGCAGCCAUGC
Molecule: ribosomal RNA, 255 nt
Filed under: Escherichia coli
Lineage: Bacteria; Pseudomonadati; Pseudomonadota; Gammaproteobacteria; Enterobacterales; Enterobacteriaceae
Description: partial 16S ribosomal RNA
Rfam family: Bacterial small subunit ribosomal RNA
Source: RNAcentral